UCGGACAUGGUGUACGGAACACCGCCAACUUUCUUCAACGACAAGCUAAGGAAGAGUCGCUGGCAGUCCGGGGUUCGACUCCCCGUGUCCGAA
This is a non-coding RNA of Mycena albidolilacea, 93 nucleotides long. The record is from the annotation of a GenBank genome assembly. Lineage: Eukaryota; Fungi; Basidiomycota; Agaricomycetes; Agaricales; Mycenaceae.